GCGACCCCAGGUCAGA
This 16-nucleotide ribosomal RNA is filed under the name Rhododendron semibarbatum. RNAcentral describes it as "partial 26S ribosomal RNA". The record is from RNAcentral. RNAcentral also lists the same sequence under 1 other name. Lineage: Eukaryota; Viridiplantae; Streptophyta; Magnoliopsida; Ericales; Ericaceae.